AUGUUGGUGUGUGGAAACUUUUUGGGUAGGGGAUGUGCUCGCGGCCUAUCAGCUUGAUGGUGGGGUAAUGGCCUACCAUGGCUUCGACGGGUAGCCGGCCUGAGAGGGUGACCGGUCACACUGGGACUGAGACACGGCCCAGACUCCUACGGGAGGCAGCAGUGGGGAAUAUUGGACAAUGGGCGGAAGCCUGAUCCAGCAACGCCGCGUGAGGGAUGACGGCCUUCGGGUUGUAAACCUCUUUCAUCACAGACGAAGCCUUUGGGUGACGGUAUGUGGAGAAGAAGCACCGGCCAACUACGUGCCAGCAGCCGCGGUAAUACGUAGGGUGCGAGCGUUGUCCGGAAUUAUUGGGCGUAAAGGGCUCGUAGGCGGUUUGUCGCGUCGGGAGUGAAAUCCAUGGGGCUUAACUUAUGGCUUUGCUUU
This 426-nucleotide ribosomal RNA is filed under the name uncultured bacterium. Its description in RNAcentral is "bacterial SSU rRNA". It matches the Rfam family "Bacterial small subunit ribosomal RNA", at positions 190 to 627 of the family's 1533-position model. The record is from RNAcentral.